CCUACGGGUGGCAGCAGUGAGGAAUAUUGGUCAAUGGGCGAGAGCCUGAACCAGCCAAGCCGCGUGAAGGAUGAAGGAUCUAUGGUUUGUAAACUUCUUUUAUAUGGGAAUAAAGUGAGGAACGUGUUCCAUUUUGUAUGUACCAUAUGAAUAAGCAUCGGCUAACUCAGUGACAGCAGCCGCGGUAAUACGGAGGAUGCGAGCGUUAUCCGGAUUUAUUGGGUUUAAAGGGUGCGUAGGUGGUUAAUUAAGUCAGCGGUGAAAAUUUGUGGCCCAACCAUAAAAUUGCCGUUGAAACUGGUUGACUUGAGUUUACUUGAGGUAGGCUGAAUGCGUGGUGUAGCGGUGAAAUGCAUAGAUAUCACGCAGAACUCCGAUUGCGAAGGCAGCUUACUAAACUAUAACUGACGCUGAAGCACGAAAGCGUGGGGAUCAAACAGGAUUAGAUACCCGUGUAGUC
This 460-nucleotide ribosomal RNA is filed under the name uncultured bacterium. Its description in RNAcentral is "partial 16S ribosomal RNA". It matches the Rfam family "Bacterial small subunit ribosomal RNA", at positions 338 to 795 of the family's 1533-position model. The record is from RNAcentral.